This 406-nucleotide ribosomal RNA is filed under the name uncultured bacterium. RNAcentral describes it as "partial 16S ribosomal RNA". It matches the Rfam family "Bacterial small subunit ribosomal RNA", at positions 30 to 526 of the family's 1533-position model. The record is from RNAcentral.
AUUGAACGCUGGCGGCAGGCCUAACACAUGCAAGUCGAACGAGUGGCGGACGGGUGAGUAAUGUCUGGGAAACUGCCUGAGGGAGGGGGAUAACUACUGGAAAGGGUAGCUAAUACAGCGUAACGACAGAUGUGCCCAGAUGGGAUUAGCUUGUUGGUGGGGUAACGGCUCACAAAGGCGACGAUCCCUAGCUGGUCUGAGAGGAUGACCAGCCAAACUGGAAAUCAGACACGGUCCAUACGCCUACGGGAGGCAGCAGUGUGGAAUAUUGCACAAUGGGGUCAAGCCUGAUGCAGCCAUGCCGCGUGUAUGAAGAAGGCCUUCGGGUUGUAAAGUACUUUCGGCGGGGAGGCGUUACCCGCAGAAGAAGCACCGGCUAACUCCGUGCCAGCAGCCGCGGUAAUAC